RNAcentral lists this ribosomal RNA (489 nucleotides) under uncultured bacterium. Its description in RNAcentral is "partial 16S ribosomal RNA". It matches the Rfam family "Bacterial small subunit ribosomal RNA", at positions 28 to 507 of the family's 1533-position model. The record is from RNAcentral.
GACGAACGCUGGCGGCGUGCUUAACACAUGCCAGUCGAACGGUGAAGGGACCAGCUUGCUGGUUCUGGAUGAGUGGCGAACGGGUGAGUAACACGUGAGUAACCUGCCCCCUUCUUCUGGAUAACCGCAUGAAAGUGUGGCUAAUACGGGAUAUUCUGGGUCUGUCGCAUGGCGGGCCCGGGAAAGAUAUUGCUUCGGUGGGGGAUGGGCUCGCGGCCUAUCAGCUUGUUGGUGGGGUGAUGGCCUACCAAGGCGGUGACGGGUAGCCGGCCUGAGAGGGUGGACGGUCACACUGGGACUGAGACACGGCCCAGACUCCUACGGGAGGCAGCAGUGGGGAAUAUUGCACAAGGGGCGCAAGCCUGAUGCAGCGACGCCGCGUGAGGGAGGGAGGCCUUCGGGUUGUAAACCUCUUUCGCCAGUGAAGCAGGCCUGCUCCUUGUGGGUGGGUUGACGGUAGCUGGAUAAGAAGCGCCGGCUAACUACGUG